UUUGUCUAAAAACCAGAACCCAAGUACUAACUACUUUCCAGUCUUUUCAACCUUUCAUGAAAGCAAUUCAAUCAACCAACUGCGGCUCCACCCAGAGAGCGUCUAUACUUACUUUUCUUACAGUUUUUGAGUGACGCACUACAAAACGAUGAAGAAAAAAAAAGAGAGAGAGAAAGAGAAAGAGAGGAGCCCUCUUAUGCAGGGCGUCUUCCGCCCUGUAAACUUGGCAAAAGGCAAACUGGACUGAAAUACAGCACUCUCCAUAUAAGGAAGGCCAGCUAAACAUGUCAUGCGUAAUUUAUGGGUAGCAGGCAGAGAAUUAACCUUUGCGUGCACAUAUUUGGCCCAGAUGAAAACCGGGCUGGACGGCAGCCCCGGGGCCAGGGAUGCGGGAUCUCUUGGGAGAAACCGUGGCUCGCGUCUGAUGGACUCGCAUCUUCGCCUGACGAAGGUCAUUAAGUUAGGCAGCCCGACUGCCGACCGAGUGCCCAAGGCAUUGUGGGAGUCAUGAUUCCAAGAGGCCCGCGAUUUAAAAUUGAACUUGUCAGUUCCCGGUCACGGGAGCAUUGUGAGCGCCACAACUCAUUCAGCUGCAGUGAAAAGACUGUUGCAUGUCGCUGUGCAGCCUCUUAUCGCCGAGGUCUGGUUUCCGCUGCUGCUGCGCGGCCCCUCCCCCGCCAGCCCAGCCCCACCAGGAAGCCCGGGGCGGACUCGUCGAGCUCCCGGACGCACGCGGCGGCGAAAAAACGCUCUCCAACUUUCCGCCGCCCUCCCGCCCUCGCCCGGGCCGCACUGGCGCCCCUCAACCGAACAAAGUCCGCAAGGGGUGGUCGUUGCCGCUCGCGGGUCGGCGCCGGGAGCACAAGGAAACCGGAGCCGGCGCUGGCGAGGUGCAUCCCCGCAGCCAACCGGUGGUAUCUUCCAUCUUACACGUUCAACAUUAUAACAGCCGAGCUAUAGUGCGAACGGGACGCACCCCUACUACUUUCUGCUCCUUCCGACCAGCCGGGCGGACACAUAGGUUCGUUUUUUAAAGAGGCCGGCGGAUGAGGCUUUUUGUAAGGAGGCCGGCAAGGUUAGGUUGAAGGUGAGAAUCAGAUGGGCAGAAAACGGCAGGGAUCUGAUGGGGCUGCCGCCUUAAAAUGCACCACACCGUUUUUGAACCUGGAUGGCUCACAGGCGGGAAAAACAUCUGCAAGACUGCCAGUGUGUCUCUUCCUCAAGUAGCAGGGUGUCCACAGUUUUGCAGUUCUUUAGUAAAACUGAUUGUCACACAAGCACAAAAACUCCCACUGCAGCUUCCAGGCUAGCUUGUAAAUAAUAUUUGGAAUGUAAAAUCCCCUUUCUUCCCAACUCUGCAUUACAUGAUUUAUAGGAAGCAGAGACCCUUCCCUGAAAAUAAAAUACCAUUUUCUGAAAUACUGGAAUAUUCCAAGGCAACUAGGUCAUAUUAUUGUUGGAGCAAAACAAACCACAGCCCCAAAUCAUAAUUCAUUGGGUGUUAUAAGAUGCAACUUGGCUUCACUUUGAAUGGAAAGAAUUCUGGACUAAAGUGAUGUGAUAAUGUUUUGGAGAUUUGGGGGCAGAAUUUCCUUUGAAUUUAAGGAAUUUUGAUAACUUGUUCAAUAAUGAUUCUAAUUUAAAACAUUGGUUCCAUGUUUUGGACAAAAUUUGGAAUGAAAUGGUGGAUAUGGUGCCAUGUUCCUCCUACAACUUUGUUGUGUUAAAGAGGGUGGCGCCGGCUUAAGAAGGAAAAGGGAAAACAUCGUGAAAGGUGCUAAAGUUCAGGAGUAAGAGGCAUUAAUAACAGACUUGAGUUCUGACCCUUGGCUAGAUCCACAAAACAGUUAAUAUUGUGCACUGCUGCCUUCCAUAACAAAUAAAUUAAUUAAUGGCCCUACUUCUCAGUGUUAAUCAUUGAAAAGUACCCAAGUGCACACACAGUCGAAGCAAACUAAAAAGGACACUGACACUUUCUCAGAGAACAGGAAUGGGCGUUCUCUAUCUGCCAAUUAGUAGCUAUGAGGAAUGCCUUUUUCUUAAUUCAGCAUUCAUUUCAACAACUACAUCGAACGCCUGCUAUGCCAGAGAUACGAGAAUGGGUAACACAGCCCCUACCCUAGAUGAUGAUAAUACUGCUAGGGAGAAGACAAAUAAACCAAUUAACUCUGCCUCAGGGAUAAAUGCUAAAAUGGUGUUGGCAAGCCAAAGGGGGCCUGAGGAGGGUUAGGGAAGGCUUCCUGGAGGAGUUAUUUUCAACAGGUGCCUUGAAAAGUGUAUAGCAAUUAACAAGAUAAGAUGGAAAGGGAGUUGAGUCUGGUCAAGUGGGAGAAAAGAGCAUGGCAAAUACAACGGACCUGCCAACUUUCCUGUUAGAAGUGAGGGAAGGAUAAGUGUAGGCGAGUGGCAGGAGAUGAGCUAAAAGUAGGUCUGUUUUAAUCCAAGGAGCCUCAGCUUUAGUCUGAAAACCAUGAUGAACUGGAAGAGUUUACACAGCAAGGGGGUAGGUAGAGUUUGGACUUGUAUUUCAGAAAGAUCCUGUGGCAGCAGCUUGAGGGUGAAUGGGAGUGUGGGGUGGUGGCCCAUAGAAGAAGGGUGAAUGGGUGUGGACAGACUGGAAAAAUGACUCAUGCAGGGAAUGAGGAAGGGAGGAACCUUGGGAAGCUCCCAAAUCCCUGGCUUAGCCUACUGGAUUGUUUGCUACUUGCCUUUUAAUGUCUUCAAUUUGCCUUUCAUUCUCCAUGACAACGGACCCUGACUUCUGAGCUGGGCCACCUAUGCGUCUGCUAGCAGGUUGGUGCCCUAGCCGGCUUCCACGCACCUCUCAGAAUGUCCAAUGAACCGCUAAGGCCUAAUCCCCGUUGUAGGAAUUUAUUUUCAAUUGUUCUCAGACCCCUGUAGACUUCCAAGUUAGAACUUUGGUGUUCUUUUUUCUUGUGGGUUAGAAAGUUUGCUGUUUGGAGCAACGUGGUGAAAAGCAGGACUUUGAACCUGUGUAUGGUGCAAGAGGGGAAAUUAUUUUUCCACUUCAGCACUGGAGGAGGGGGGAAGUUCUGGGAACAAAAGAGAAAUUGAAACUGAGACAGAUUUUCUGCUCCACCAAACAGAUUACAAAGAAAUACAAGAAAGACCCUUGAAUGUUGGAAACAGUAAAAUAAACAUCCUCGUAAAUGACAAAGAAGAGAAAAAAAAAUGUUAUUUUAUAUUAGAUAAAAGAAAAAGGGAUGCUUAAGAAAAACUCCUAUAAAAUAAUGGUCUAUCUAGGAUUCAAAAAUGAAUCAAAAUGAAUUGUGAUAUAAAACUAGUUUGCCACAGAUUUAGCUUAAUUUAUUAUUAUUGAUAAUACUAUAACAUGAGUAAUGACGCUGAAAAUUUUGAAGCAUUGUAACAAACACCAGAUCAUAUGUUAAAAAUAUUAAACCAUAUUGCCAGCUUUCAGCUACCA
Leptonychotes weddellii (Weddell seal) is the source of this 3445-nucleotide long non-coding RNA. RefSeq lists it as uncharacterized. NCBI's taxonomy places the organism in Eukaryota, Metazoa, Chordata, Mammalia, Carnivora, Phocidae. The record is from RefSeq and is a predicted model, not a curated record.